This 440-nucleotide ribosomal RNA is filed under the name uncultured bacterium. RNAcentral describes it as "partial 16S ribosomal RNA". It matches the Rfam family "Bacterial small subunit ribosomal RNA", at positions 338 to 795 of the family's 1533-position model. The record is from RNAcentral.
CCUACGGUAGUCAGCAGUGGGGAAUAUUGCACAAUGGGGGAACCCCUGAUCCAGCGACGCCGCGUGAGUGAAGAAGUAUUUCGGUAUGUACAGCUCUAUCAGAAGGGAAGAAAAUGACGUUACCUGAUUAAGAAGCCCCGGCUACCUACGUGCCAGCAGCCGCGGUAAUACGUAGGGGGCAAGCGUUAUCCGGAUUUACUGGGUGUAAAGGGAGCGUAGACGGCAGCGCAAGUCUGGAGUGAAAUGCCGGGGCCUAACCCCGGAACUGCUCUGGAAACUGUGCAGCUGGAGUGCAGGAGAGGUAAGUGGAAUUCCGUGUGUAGCGGUGAAAUGCGUAGAUAUUAGGAGGGACACCAGUGGCGAAGGCGGCUUACUGGACUGUAACUGACGUUGAGGCUCGAAGGCGUGGGGAGCAAACAGGAUUAGAUACCCCUGUAGUC